Vespula pensylvanica (western yellowjacket) is the source of this 981-nucleotide long non-coding RNA. RefSeq lists it as uncharacterized. The transcript has 5 exons. NCBI's taxonomy places the organism in Eukaryota, Metazoa, Arthropoda, Insecta, Hymenoptera, Vespidae. The record is from RefSeq and is a predicted model, not a curated record.
CAGACAAGAUGACGCAGCAUACGAGAAUGAUGCUCGACGAUCUUUCCGAAAGCUUUGUUCGAAAGUUCUUAGUACAUCGUGAUUUCAAGGAUAUUUUUGUUGACGAUUUCUUACGUUUUACGAGAUUCAAGGAUAAAGCUAAAUAGACACCGUAUACGCAUAUGUUUAUAUACGUAUCUAAUUCGUAGAAAUUUAAUCGUGCCUCUUCGUGCCCUUCCGUACAAUUUCGUAAAUUCUGCUCACACAGAUGAUCGCCUUCAGGACGAGAUGAUGCAGCAUACAAGGAUGAUACUCGACGAUCUUCUGUCCAAAUUUCUUAAUACAUCGCGAUUCCAAGGAUAUUCUUGCUGAGGAUUUCUUACGUUUCAAGUCAACAAGGUCAAAGAGAUUAACUUCACUCUGCCUUUCAACAACGAUCACGUGGGACUUGAAUAUAUUUCUUGGAGUAGGAGAACCCCGUUAACGAGCGUAAUCCGUUCUUUGACGUGAGCAACGAACGGGUACGAUGACGCAGUUACGAUCGAUUUUGCGAUUCGAAAGCUUUCAAACUGGUCCUGAAAAAAAAUACUGAUUUAUGUCAGCCGAAUAGAGUCAAGAAAAACUAUCCAUCGAUGGAUGAAGAGUUAUUAAUUAUUGAUUGUAUUUACAAAAUGGAUACAAGCCAAUUAAAAAAUCAUGUCAUCUUCAAGAUGGAUAUAUCUGCAAGAGAGAAACAAUUUAGAAAAAACGACCAGUAUUGUUCCUUGAUACUUUAAGAUUGACUAAUCUUUGACGGAGAUCGAAGAAAUCUUUUUAAAAAGAAAAUAAAAAAAUAGAGAAGAAACUAAAGGGCAUGUUUACCAAGGAGAUAUUAAAGAGAAACAUCGUAGAAACAACUAAGGAAGAGUAUAAUGGCACUGAAUAAAAUUGACAGAAAUGACGAUGAUAUCUCGACGAGAUUAAGAGAGAAAUAUAUAUAUAUAUAUAUAUAUAUACACUCAC